GGUAAAUCAGUGAUAUGGAUGAUCGUAGCCCUGUUUGAGCCUACCCUGAUGUGUAUGCUUGUGUCUUGGUUUUUAUUGUUUUAUUUUUAUUUUUAUGUUUUUUCAGACAGGGUCUCGCUCUGUCACCCAGGGCCUAAAGUGCAGUGGCAUGAUCAGCUUGGACCUCCUGGGCUCAAGCGAUCAUCCUAUCUCAGGUGGGAACACAGGUGCAUGCCACCACAACUGGCUUUUUUUUUUUUUUUUUUUUUUUUUUAACGUUUGUAGAGAGGAGGUUUAACUAUGCUGCCCAGGCUGGUCUUGAAGUCUUGGGCUAAAGUGAUCCUCCUAGUUUCCAAUAUAGUAUCAGUACACUCUUGCAUAAUAAUUUUAUUAGAAAGACAUUCUCAACACACCCUGGCCAACAUUUUGACCUUUGCUAAUUUUAUGAGAAAAUGGUGGUGGUGGGUCCCUGCAGUCCCAGCUACUCAGGAGGCUGAGGCAGGAGAAUUGCUUAAACCCGGGAGGCGGAGGUUGCAGUGAGCCGAGACAUCACCACUGCACUCCAGCCUGGGUGACAGAGCAAGGCUCUGCCUCAAAAAAAAAAAAAAAAAAAAAAAGUUCUGCUCCCGUUUAAAUAAAGCAAAGUGAGUUACUGCUUUCCAACAUACUUACUGUUAAAGAGCUACUGCAAGAAGGAAAGUACAAUAAAGGGAAUAUACAGAGUCCAUCAGUUAGAGAUAUUGAUAGUUAGUUAUGCUGCAGUAUACCUGUAUGUGUUGUUACACAUGUCUACAUGGUGGACCAUAUAAUGAGUCAGUUCUACUAUCAUAUAAUUGACUUGAACAGCUGUGAAGCUAUUCUUCAUUCAGCCUCAUUAUAUCUCUGUGAACCAUACCUCUGCUUCUGGGGCAUGAAAGGGGUUGAGGUCAGCUAUUCAAGAUGGUGUGUUCUACCUCCUCAUUUCUUCAUUAAGUGAUAUAAAGUUAAAAUAUUAUUGUAGAACUUAAAAUCUCAUGCUCGAUAAGAAAACGUUUGUAUAUUCAUUUUUAUUUUCCAGUUUGCAAGGAAAAUAGAAAACAGCUAUUUAUCUAAGUGCAUUACAUUAUUUUCAACUGUUAUUGUCUUGGUUUGGUUUUCAGCUUCAGUGUACAAUUUUCGUAAAGUCAGCAACGAAAUUUAAUAAUACAAUGUACUUAAUUUGGGGGGAAAAACAGUGCUUUCCUAAAUACUAUUUUAUUAUUAUACCAUUGGAACAGUGCCUGCCAGAUAGUUUUUUGUGACCUCUAUACAUACAGAAUAUAUCACUCAUGAGAAUAACUGCACAUUUUACA
RNAcentral lists this long non-coding RNA (1310 nucleotides) under Homo sapiens (human). RNAcentral's name for it is "non-protein coding lnc-ADGRB3-6:1". Lineage: Eukaryota; Metazoa; Chordata; Mammalia; Primates; Hominidae. The record is from RNAcentral.